This 503-nucleotide ribosomal RNA is filed under the name uncultured bacterium. Its description in RNAcentral is "partial 16S ribosomal RNA". It matches the Rfam family "Bacterial small subunit ribosomal RNA", at positions 30 to 523 of the family's 1533-position model. The record is from RNAcentral.
AUUGAACGCUGGCGGCAGGCUUAACACAUGCAAGUCGAGCGGGGUGAUGGUGCUUGCACUAUCACUUAGCGGCGGACGGGUGAGUAAUGCUUAGGAAUCUGCCUAUUAGUGGGGGACAACAUCUCGAAAGGGAUGCUGAUACCGCAUACGUCCUACGAGAGAAAGCAGGGGAUCACUUGUGACCUUGCGCUAAUAGAUGAGCCUAAGUCGGAUUAGCUAGUUGGUGGGGUAAAGGCCUACCAAGGCGACGAUCUGCAGCGGGUCUGAGAGGAUGAUCCGCCACACUGGGACUGAGACACGGCCCAGACUCCUACGGGAGGCAGCAGUGGGGAAUAUUGGACAAUGGGGGGAACCCUGAUCCAGCCAUGCCGCGUGUGUGAAGAAGGCCUUAUGGUUGUAAAGCACUUUAAGCGAGGAGGAGGCUCUUUUGGUUAAUACCCAAGAUGAGUGGACGUUACUCGCAGAAUAAGCACCGGCUAACUCUGUGCCAGCAGCCGCCGUAA